Molecule: transfer RNA, 62 nt
Filed under: Sphaerotheriidae sp. HYS-2012
Lineage: Eukaryota; Metazoa; Arthropoda; Diplopoda; Sphaerotheriida; Sphaerotheriidae
Description: tRNA-Tyr
Source: RNAcentral
AAUGGCUGAAUAAGUGAAAAACUGUAAAUUUUUUUAUGAACGAAUGUUCUUAUAUCAGGUAU